RNAcentral lists this non-coding RNA (2503 nucleotides) under Pongo abelii (Sumatran orangutan). The record is from RNAcentral. Lineage: Eukaryota; Metazoa; Chordata; Mammalia; Primates; Hominidae.
AAAUUCUGAAAGGUUGCCUCAUCGCUGGAAAUAUGUGUAAUGUUGGAGCAAUGCUAGAUUAUAAAAUUUAUCGUUAAUUAAUAAUGAAACACACAAAGAUUGAGCAGUUGUUCUCAUCAGAAACAUCUACCAGGAACUUACAGGGGGUCAUGAGAUAGCUCUGUAGCAAACAAGAAAGAGAAGAAAUGCUUCUUGCCCUGGCAGAAUUAUGAGUGGGCACACUUGCUAUGUUAUACAAUAUUAGGCAUGCAGUUGAAAAAAAACAAAGAACCAUACAAAUCACCAGGUGUCUGGUCACAAACUCUGGCAGAGCUUCACACAAAGCAGGCAAGCUACAAGAUUUCGAACAACACAGCUUAUAGAUGAAAGUUAAAGGCAUUUAAUUUACUUGAAAACAGAGGAAGAAAGGACCAACACAUAAAAGAACAUUCAUUUUGAGGGAUGAGCAAUUCAAUUGAGUUCAAGGGUAGGGCAAUGGUGACUUCUCAGCCACCUGCUAUCAAUUUGACAUGUAUUAAGCACACGACUGGGUUAAUAAAAGUGGGAGUUUGGGUUAAAAUGCCCCUUUGGGUUAAGAGGCGCUGAACAAAUGUUUGUCUAAGAAAGUUGAAACUAUGGAAGAAAAGGUGGUCAACUUCAGAGACGUAGAUGUAACUCCUACAACAUGCUUCAACAUGGUUUAGCCAAGUGGAAACUUUUUCUUCCUGGUGUAUGCUCUUUAACAUAUUUAAGAUGUCCUUAACAUCUUUCAGAAAUCUACUUUUCUACCAAUAUUAUAUGGGUUAAUAUUUUUCAAAGAUAAAGCACAAAUAGUAGAGGGCUAAUUUUCAGGCUAUACUGCAUUUAUGAAGCAAAGCAAACCUCAUCUGCUUUCAUGACUUGAAUGGAGGAGAAUGGUUAGAGACUAUUAAAAGAGUAGAGGAGAGGAAAGAAGAGGCAAGAGCAAGAACACACAGCAGACUGGCUUCUCCAACUUGGCAGUGGUCUCUCUAGUUCCUGGAGUCCUGUCCAUGAAUGAGGUUGGACUUGCAGCCACCAGCCAUUGCCAGUGGAGAGGCAGCGCCAGACUCCUACCAGCACUCACAUGGGUGGCAAUGGAAUGAAGUCACCACAUUUAGCAAAGGGUGAUGGCACACUUCUUGGGUUUGCUAUGGGAGUAACCUUCUGUUUAAAUGUAUUACACAGAGCUCAUCUCUAACAAAAUCAUCUUCCUAUUUGGUUAACACUGUAAAUGAAAAUUCUGAACAGUGUGUGUUUACCCAAAGGUAGAAUCUAUACUCUCAGACUGCUAUCCAUUUGUGUGACCAUAAAGUCUUUAAAACUGGAGUAACGAUGGGGCAGAGAGAGGUAGUAUUUAAUAUCAAAAAGCCACAUGGUUGUCACAAUUUUAGGCAAGCUCAAGCAGAAACUGUAUAUGUAAGGAAUAGAAUGUCAAUGUUACUUUCAGUUUGAAUUUCUACCACUGAAAUUUUAUUUCAAUCCAAAAUAUUCCUCUGCACAUGAGUCAGGCAGAAUGACCAAAUGUUGAUGCUGUGUGAUGAUGAUGUCCAUAGCCUGGACCUCUUCCCAUCUGGCUCCUUGGAUUACCUCACAGCCCUUCCCAGGUACCCAGAAUGUUUGCUCUUUGGUUAUAAGGCCAGAUGAAUGAGCAAAAACUCCCACCUAAAUCUGUAGCAUGCGGACAUCCAAAUGAAUAGAUAUUUGAUUCUACUCACAGAUAUCAAACUAAAUAUGUUAAAUUCUAAAGAGAGCUAUUUCAACAGUCUCAAUUAAUCUUCAAAAUGGAAAAGCUGCUUCUGUACUUAUGUAAAAUAUAAUAUGCUAUGUUAUACUAUUUGUUACUUCACAAAGUUUUUAACACAUCAUUUUAACACCUCCAAGUCUAUAAAUGUAUACUGCAGCAGAAGCCAUAUUGAGCAUAUAUAAUCAAAAUCGAAUCCUAUAUUCCUACAGCUCUCACCACCAUCAAAGCUUGCCAUCUGGAGAAAACACAGGGCGACCGUGGCCUAUGGAUAGAUGCUUAGAGAAUCCAACCUUCAUCCUGAGCAUGAGGGUGUUGGCGUUUGGAAAAGAGGAAGAAGGGGAAGCAGGCAAAUGUGGGUUUGGAGAGUGACAAUGCUAAUGAAAUAGGGUAAAUAACAAGCUUGGAAGUGAAGACCAGGCCAGUUUCCUAGAGCACUUUUCCAUUCUGUAUCCUGAGACUAUGGAGACAGGAAGUGGAGAGAGCAGAUAAAUCCAUGACACUAUUCUCCAGGAUCAGCUCCUGCCAUUCCGACUGCCCUAAUAUCCUUUCCUGCCUCCUCUCUCUUCUAGUAUUGCUCUCAGAUCAUGCUGGAUACGCUUAAUAUAAACUGAAUUUAUCAUCUUCUAGACAUUCCAAUAUUGACUUUAUGUCAAUAACCUCCCAAAUGCCUGUAUUUUGUUCUGAAGUUUCCUCGGGGCAGUAUUUUCAGCUCUCUAUUGGCCAUACCACUUGGAUGAAUAAAAAGAACUUCAACCUCCA